This 479-nucleotide ribosomal RNA is filed under the name uncultured bacterium. RNAcentral describes it as "partial 16S ribosomal RNA". It matches the Rfam family "Bacterial small subunit ribosomal RNA", at positions 28 to 507 of the family's 1533-position model. The record is from RNAcentral.
GAUGAACGCUAGCGGGAGGCCUAACACAUGCAAGCCGAGCGGUAGAGUCUCUUCGGAGACUUGAGAGCGGCGCACGGGUGCGGAACACGUGUGCAACCUGCCUUUAUCUGGGGGAUAGCCUUUCGAAAGGAAGAUUAAUACCCCAUAAUAUACUGGAUGGCAUCAUCUGGUAUUGAAAACUCCGGUGGAUAGAGAUGGGCACGCGCAAGAUUAGAUAGUUGGUGAGGUAACGGCUCACCAAGUCAGCGAUCUUUAGGGGGCCUGAGAGGGUGAUCCCCCACACUGGUACUGAGACACGGACCAGACUCCUACGGGAGGCAGCAGUGAGGAAUAUUGGACAAUGGGGGAGAGCCUGAUCCAGCCAUCCCGCGUGAAGGACGACGGCCCUAUGGGUUGUAAACUUCUUUUGUAUAGGGAUAAACCUAGAUACGUGUAUCUAGCUGAAGGUACUAUACGAAUAAGCACCGGCUAACUCCGUG